UUAAGUAACUGGAUGCAUUUUUAUUUCCUUAGUUAGGGAGAGAGAUGAUUUUUGGCUCAUAUCAUAGUGGCAAUAGAGAUGAAGAGAAUUUGAUAUAACGCAGAGCUCUUUAGUGAAACUGACAGGAUUUUUUAAUAGGGAUAUGUGAAGCAACAACAGUAAAUGGGGAAAUUAUUACUUAUAGAUUUCAUACUUAAUCAAAUCACUCAUUUAGUGAGUGUUAUUGAGACAUGAGGCACACAGAGGCAAAAGUGGGAACUAAGAAAGAUUUAGAAAUACACAUUUCAUAUGUUUAAAGUCCCUGUACAAGUAACAUUCUCACAGAGACAUUGAGAAGGUAGGUAGAUGAGAAUCUGUAGGCCAGAAGGAAUUUAAAGUGUGACGAUAUCCAUUUGGGAGUGAUGAAAAGAGAAUGCAGCCAUACAGUAGAAUAACAUAAAAGAUACUUUCGAAAGCUUGUCUCACAUAUCUGUUUUUAUGUAGCAAGCCACCUUAAAACUCAAUAGUUUAAAAAAUUAACAACAGUUUUGUUUACUUCCCUUCCAUUUGGGUCAACAAUUUAGACUGGGUUUAUGGGGUGCUUCUUUGGUUGCUUUCAACUUAGGGCACUCAACUCAUCGUCUUGGGCUAAGGGCUAUAAAAUAGCCUUUCUCACAUGAUUGGCCCUUGGUGCUAGCUGUUUUCCAGUCCACACACUUCCAUCAGGCUGGUUUGGGAUUCUUCACAUGGAGUCUUCAUUCCAAAAACAGCAAAAAGCAGAGUAAUCCUCUAUGGCCACACCUUUCAAGCUUUUGCUGACAUCAUAUCUGCCAAUAUCUCAAUCACCGAGGAGAGCAAGAAACCCCACCUUAGUCAACUUGAGAAGAAAGAACACAUGGGUGUGACUACAAGGACACAGGACACAGUGGGGGCUACUUCUGUAACAAUCUACAAGAAACUUCAAUGGUCAAGUAGAAGACAAACUAGUAAAGAAGAUGGAAAGGGGACAGCUAGAAUAUUGAUAAGAGGAAAAAUAGCAAAAAGAAGCAAUGCAAAUGACAAAGAAAGUGAGAAUGACAGAGAACUUUUAAUAUAAGAGAAGGUUACAUUUUUGGUUGCAUGAUGUAUCUUUAUGAUUUCUUUCAUUCGUCAGUUUUAUGUCAGGUAGGAUUACAUUCAACUGUACCAUUAGGAUCCAGGUAGUGUGCUGAAAGACACUUCUCAGGUUUCUCCCCUGGUUCUGAGAGGUGACAGCGUGCUGGCAGUCCUCACAGCCCUCUCUCGCUCUCGGCGCCUCCUCUGCCUGGGCUCCCACUUUGGAUGCACCUGGGGAGCCCUUCAGCCCACCGCUGCACUGUGGGGGCCCCUUUCUGGGCUGGCCAAGGCCGGAGCCCACUCCCUCAGCUUGCAGGGAGGUGUGGAGGGA
RNAcentral lists this long non-coding RNA (1405 nucleotides) under Homo sapiens (human). RNAcentral describes it as "HSALNT0085780". Lineage: Eukaryota; Metazoa; Chordata; Mammalia; Primates; Hominidae. The record is from RNAcentral.